GGCCCCGUAGUUCAACGGAUAGAAUAGAAGUUUCCUAAACUUUUGAUACAGGUUCGAUUCCUGUCGGGGCUG
This 72-nucleotide transfer RNA is filed under the name Bacteroidota bacterium. Its description in RNAcentral is "tRNA-Arg". It matches the Rfam family "tRNA". Rfam says of the family: Transfer RNA (tRNA) molecules are approximately 80 nucleotides in length. Their secondary structure includes four short double-helical elements and three loops (D, anti-codon, and T loops). The record is from RNAcentral. RNAcentral also lists the same sequence under 3 other names. Lineage: Bacteria; Pseudomonadati; Bacteroidota.